RNAcentral lists this ribosomal RNA (140 nucleotides) under Favonigobius sp. OCF-P4155. RNAcentral describes it as "partial 12S ribosomal RNA". Lineage: Eukaryota; Metazoa; Chordata; Actinopteri; Gobiiformes; Gobiidae. The record is from RNAcentral.
UGACAGACGCCGGCGUAAAGAGUGGUUAAUUAAAUUUAAACUAAGGCCGAACACCUCCAAGAUCGUCAUACGUACCCGGAGGAGGAAGCUCCCCAACGAAAGUGGCCUUAACUUACAAUGAACCCACGAAAGCUAGGGUA